This is a regulatory RNA element of Sphingopyxis sp. 113P3, 67 nucleotides long. It matches the Rfam family "terC RNA". The record is from Rfam. Lineage: Bacteria; Pseudomonadati; Pseudomonadota; Alphaproteobacteria; Sphingomonadales; Sphingopyxidaceae.
UAUGCGGGCCGGGCCCCUCUGGCGCCUUCGCGACUUUUUGUUGCGGGCGUGAUGUCGGACCGCAUCG